UACGUAGGGUGCGAGCGUUAAUCGGAAUUACUGGGCGUAAAGCGUGCGCAGGCGGUUCUGAAAGUCAGCUGUGAAAGCCCCGGGCUUAACCUGGGAAUGGCGGUUGAAACUACAGGACUAGAAUCUGGCAGAGGGGGGUGGAAUUCCACGUGUAGCAGUGAAAUGCGUAGAGAUGUGGAGGAACACCGAUGGCGAAGGCAGCCUCCUGGGCCAACACUGACGCUCAUGCACGAAAGCGUGGGGAGCAAACAGG
RNAcentral lists this ribosomal RNA (253 nucleotides) under uncultured bacterium. Its description in RNAcentral is "partial 16S ribosomal RNA". It matches the Rfam family "Bacterial small subunit ribosomal RNA", at positions 524 to 776 of the family's 1533-position model. The record is from RNAcentral.